GUUGGUGACCAGCGGA
This 16-nucleotide ribosomal RNA is filed under the name Fusarium sp. ZH4-E2. RNAcentral describes it as "partial 18S ribosomal RNA". Lineage: Eukaryota; Fungi; Ascomycota; Sordariomycetes; Hypocreales; Nectriaceae. The record is from RNAcentral.